CCUACGGGUGGCAGCAGUGGGGAAUAUUGCACAAUGGGGGGAACCCUGAUGCAGCAACGCCGCGUGGGUGAAGAAGUACUCCGGUAUGUAAAGCCCUGUCAGCAGGGAAGAAAAUGACGGUACCUGACCAAGAAGCCCCGGCUAACUACGUGCCAGCAGCCGCGGUAAUACGUAGGGGGCAAGCGUUAUCCGGAUUUACUGGGUGUAAAGGGGGCGUAGACGGCAAGGCAAGUCUGGAGUGAAAGCCCGGGGCCCAACCACGGGACUGCUUUGGAAACUGUGUGGCUGGAGUGCAGGAGGGGUAAGCGGAAUUCCUAGUGUAGCGGUGAAAUGCGUAGAUAUUAGGAGGAACACCAGUGGCGAAGGCGGCUUACUGGACUGUAACUGACGUUGAGGCUCGAAGGCGUGGGGAGCAAACAGGAUUAGAUACCCGUGUAGUC
This 440-nucleotide ribosomal RNA is filed under the name uncultured bacterium. Its description in RNAcentral is "partial 16S ribosomal RNA". It matches the Rfam family "Bacterial small subunit ribosomal RNA", at positions 338 to 795 of the family's 1533-position model. The record is from RNAcentral.